AAGUUGGGAGGUCUGUUAGGAAUUCUCUGUGCUUCGGACACCAUUUUGGUGUUUCGUGCCCAGUCGUAUCGAGCAUUCAUAGUAGAAACAAAGUAUACAAAAUACUCGAUUCUUACUAAUUAUAAGUCGAAGUUCGUGAAUUAUCGUGGUUAGAAUUUGAAACCGCCUCUGUUAAAAUCAAUACAAUUGAUAAUUUACUGUUUAUUCACUGUUAUAAUUGACUGCUAAUAUACGAUAUGUUCUCGUCAAUCCAAAAAUUUAAGAUAGCUUCGAGUGCAAAGGGUUAAGAAGACGGCGAGGAAAACGGAGAGGGAAAACGCGAACCUCGACUUCCAGUUCCGGCAAACGUGCCACGUGAAUCGAGCAAUUCUCGAAUUCCCGCAGCUCUUGAAAUUCGAAGAGGAAUUGAACGGUUUCGCGAUCGGUCCAUCCUACCCAAUUGGUGGCAGUCGCCGUGGAGGACAAAAUCUCGGAGAGCUCGCCUAAAAUUCCAUCCGUCAGCUGGCCCAAACCGUUCACUAGCGAUGAGUCGGGUCCGGGUUCCUUAUCACCGUCGUACGACGAAUCUUCAACGUUGCAUCCACCAGGUCCUUCUCGCGUUCCACGCGGAGCGACGUACCUGACAACGUACUCUGCCAACGUGUGUUACAAUACAUUAGAUUAGGCCCGAUUAGAUCGAUUAUUUAUAAAUUUGCAAUUUAAUAUUUUAUAUAAAUUACGCAAACUCUAAUAUUAGAAAUCUUCAAAUUUCAUCCAUAAA
Long non-coding RNA from Megalopta genalis, 760 nucleotides. RefSeq lists it as uncharacterized. The record is from RefSeq and is a predicted model, not a curated record. NCBI's taxonomy places the organism in Eukaryota, Metazoa, Arthropoda, Insecta, Hymenoptera, Halictidae.